Molecule: long non-coding RNA, 724 nt
Organism: Fukomys damarensis (Damara mole-rat)
Lineage: Eukaryota; Metazoa; Chordata; Mammalia; Rodentia; Bathyergidae
Exons: 4
Source: RefSeq, a predicted model, not a curated record
ACUUUUUGAAAGAAAAUGCAUGUGAUCUCUCAAGGAAAAUACAUGAAGUGGGAAGAGGAGACUCUAAGUAACGGCAAUGGUGGAGCCCUGGAAAUCAAAAAGAAGUUGGUCAGGGAUCCCCAGAGGAAGUGACCGGAAGACUGUGUUGUCUCAGCACAAAAGCCAAGGCAGCAGAGUCAAUGCACUUCCAAAUCUAGGAUAUCUAGAGAGCUGAAGGGAAAACAGCAGAAACAUCAUCUUUCAAGAUACAGGAGUCAUGCUGGUGGCCCAGAUGUGCUGCCACGAGGUAAACAACUUUUUCUGCCUUGCCUUUCGACGAUGAUGUUUCUAUCUUAGAGCCAGCUGACCAUGGACUUAAACAUCUGACACCAUGAGCCAAAAAGACAGGUCAGUGCUAAUAUAAGAAUAAAUGAAGAACAAACAGAGACGCUAAAGAAGAAAAGUACAAAAGGUAACAACAGGUACCACUAGAUAGGGGAAGAAGUAGUGAGUUAUUCUUUCGAUAAAUGAGAUGGGGAAAGGAAAGUGUGUUGGUAUGGUGGCUUAGUGGGAUAGCAGGGUACAUUGGAGGCUUUCUCCAGGAAAAAGAGAACUUAUUGUAUAAAUGCUGAGAGAAGAAGCAAUAGAGAGGUAGAUUCAGCAGGCAAAAAGUGUGAAGAAUGACUAAAAGGAUGAUAUACAAUCAGAUUGAUAGACCAAGGAAUUGCUCUUAGAAAGUAGAGAU